Molecule: unclassified non-coding RNA, 548 nt
Filed under: Hevea brasiliensis (rubber tree)
Lineage: Eukaryota; Viridiplantae; Streptophyta; Magnoliopsida; Malpighiales; Euphorbiaceae
Source: RNAcentral
CAAAAAAAAAAAAAAAACAAAAAGAGUAACAGUAUGAGGGACUUGAUUACACUACCUGUUCAGAAGAGGCAAACUUCCUCUUUUGUAGGAGAGCUUAGAAAACUGGACGGGAUUGUAUCCUCCUCUUCUUUAUAAGGGAGAUUGAUUUUACUAACGUUAGCAUGGAUAGGACUACAUGUGUCAUGCAUUCACUUGUGCAUCAGGUAACAUCAAGGUUUCAUAAAAUUCCAAACCGUUUAACUUAUUGUGCCGCUUGGGGGAGGGGGUGUCCCCGUUUUGAGGAAAAAUUGUUCUUCAGAGAAUGAGCUAUUCCUCCUCUGAGUAGCUCAUUCAGAUGUUUAGUGAAAUUACUAACAGAUGUUAAUAAAAGUCGGGUAGGUUUGCGCAUUUCCAUGACUGUGGGGGCUCCCCCUCCUGCCCAAUUAAAAUACUAUUGAAAGAGUUCUGGAUGUUAUGGGUACUUUCGCUUGUGCAAAGCUGGAAGUAAUUUUGUAAAAAGUUUUGGGUCGAUAUUUCUCAUGAAAAGGAUUGAAAAUUUAAUUUUUUUA